This 372-nucleotide ribosomal RNA is filed under the name uncultured organism. RNAcentral's name for it is "partial 16S ribosomal RNA". It matches the Rfam family "Bacterial small subunit ribosomal RNA", at positions 527 to 896 of the family's 1533-position model. The record is from RNAcentral.
GUAGGUGGCAAGCGUUGUCCGGAAUUAUUGGGCGUAAAGCGCGCGCAGGCGGUUCUUUAAGUCUGAUGUGAAAGCCCACGGCUCAACCGUGGAGGGUCAUUGGAAACUGGAGAACUUGAGUACAGAAGAGGAAAGCGGAAUUCCACGUGUAGCGGUGAAAUGCGUAGAGAUGUGGAGGAACACCAGUGGCGAAGGCGGCUUUCUGUUCUGUAACUGACGCUGAGGCGCGAAAGCGUGGGGAGCAAACAGGGAUUAGAUACCCUGGUAGUCCACGCCGUAAACGAUGAGUGCUAAGUGUUAGGGGGUUUCCGCCCCCUUAGUGCUGCAGCUAACGCAUUAAGCACUCCGCCUGGGGAUACGGCCGCAAGGCUG